CAAUCCCUGUGAUGUGCGUGAUGCUCAUCUGUCUUGAGCCAACACAUGGGUCGAGGGAGCCGGAGUCCAUGCGUGAUACUGGGGGCCUGGGCAGCCAGACCCGCUGAAUCACCGGCAGGCUCCCACCUGCGAAAGCAGGUUCAAGACUUCGAGCGCACGGCAUUGUGGGGAUUGC
RNAcentral lists this non-coding RNA (175 nucleotides) under Anaerolineales bacterium. RNAcentral describes it as "6S RNA". It matches the Rfam family "6S / SsrS RNA". Rfam says of the family: E. coli 6S RNA was the first non coding RNA to be sequenced, but its function was unknown until recently. It consists of 184 nucleotides that fold into an extended hairpin structure with a large single-stranded internal bulge. The record is from RNAcentral. Lineage: Bacteria; Bacillati; Chloroflexota; Anaerolineae; Anaerolineales.